Molecule: ribosomal RNA, 51 nt
Filed under: Tuber indicum
Lineage: Eukaryota; Fungi; Ascomycota; Pezizomycetes; Pezizales; Tuberaceae
Also listed under: 1 other name
Description: partial 28S ribosomal RNA
Source: RNAcentral
GGUUGACCUCGAAUCAGGUAGGGAUACCCGCUGAACUUAAGCAUAUCAAUA